This 496-nucleotide ribosomal RNA is filed under the name uncultured bacterium. Its description in RNAcentral is "partial 16S ribosomal RNA". It matches the Rfam family "Bacterial small subunit ribosomal RNA", at positions 28 to 507 of the family's 1533-position model. The record is from RNAcentral.
GAUGAACGCUGGCGGCGUGCCUAAUACAUGCAAGUCGAGCGAACGGACGAGACGCUUGCUUUUCUGAUGUUAGCGGCGGACGGGUGAGUAACACGUGGAUAACCUACCUAUAAGACUGGGAUAACUUCGGGAAACCGGAGCUAAUACCGGAUAAUAUUUUGAACCGCAUGGUUCAAAAGUGAAAGACGGUCUUGCUGUCACUUAUAGAUGGAUCCGCGCUGCAUUAGCUAGUUGGUAAGGUAACGGCUUACCAAGGCAACGAUGCAUAGCCGACCUGAGAGGGUGAUCGGCCACACUGGAACUGAGACACGGUCCAGACUCUACGGGAGGCAGCAGUAGGGAAUCUUCCGCAAUGGGCGAAAGCCUGACGGAGCAACGCCGCGUGAGUGAUGAAGGUCUUCGGAUCGUAAAACUCUGUUAUUAGGGAAGAACAUAUGUGUAAGUAACUGUGCACAUCUUGACGGUACCUAAUCAGAAAGCCACGGCUAACUACGUG